This is a long non-coding RNA of Armigeres subalbatus, 728 nucleotides long. RefSeq lists it as uncharacterized. Lineage: Eukaryota; Metazoa; Arthropoda; Insecta; Diptera; Culicidae. The transcript is spliced from 3 exons. The record is from RefSeq and is a predicted model, not a curated record.
GGUACAAAGCCAUCAGAAAAUCGGGCACCAUGUCUUCUUCUUCAUUUUGAAGAAAAUACCCCUCGUGGGUGACGAAUUACAUUAUACAUAAAUAUUUUACGAGCGCUGACUUACCCCUCUUGACGUUUUGACAGUUUGUCUGUUUGUUUUUCUGCCUUUCUGCCUCACCUUGCGACGUCGUUUCGGUUUUGCAUCGUGCACAAAUAUUAAUCCAAGACAACAUUUUCAAAACGACUUGUCUACUUAUAAGUCGUUUUGAAAAUUUUGUCUUGAAUCCGUAUCGAAAACAUUACAUGAGCGUGAGUUCGACCGUUUUGGUGCCAUCAAAAAGAUCGAAUAUAACAAAGGGGACACCCAGGCCUACAUUCUGUACGAUUAUAUUGAUGCUGCUACGGCUGCUGUGAAGGAAAUGCGUAUGCACCGAUUCACGAGCAGCUAUCGAAGGCCGCCAUCAAGCACUGUCGACGUUUACCCUGUCACCACCAUAGCGGCUCCGGUAAUGUAGUUGUUCCCUCGUCGAAUCGGGUUGCGAAAUGCUGGAACUGACACUAACCGUCAAGUCGGAAAGCCCCAGGAAAACGAGGACGGAAUCUCGGGCCACUGGAAGGGAAGACCAGUCACCCCCGCCAGCCAACGAUAGGUCCCUCCAUCAGGACAAUCCAAUAAACUGAUUCUUCAUGCAUCCACCGAAGGCCGCAUAAACUGCCGUCAUCCGGUACUGGCUCGAC